This 6898-nucleotide long non-coding RNA is filed under the name Sorghum bicolor (sorghum). RNAcentral describes it as "long non-coding RNA (SBIC_LNC000503)". The record is from RNAcentral. Lineage: Eukaryota; Viridiplantae; Streptophyta; Magnoliopsida; Poales; Poaceae.
CGCCUGCUGAACCAAAAACGCACAGAGGAGGAGGACUAUAUAAGCAAGGCCCCUGGCCCCUGGAGGAGGACAAGAAAUUAUCAUAGAGAUUGAGGGGUGCCCUCGAAGGAAAACCUCUUCUCUAAAUAAUAUUUAUUUUUAGGCUUAGCAACCAAUGUAAAGUAGAAAUAGAUCUUCUAGUUUCUACUAGAUUGAGAGAGAUAGAGUGGAGGUGUGGAUCGGAGGAAGGCCGGCCUGUCGGUGUCUACUCCGAGUUGUACCUGCGGGAUCAAGUCUCCUAACCCGAGGCUUGCUUCUAAGAUUCUUCAGUAAUUCGACUUCUAAUUACUAGUAAGUUCUUAUUUUAUUGUUCUUUGGUUUAUGAGUUUACUUUAAUCCUCUUCCGGUUGAGUAUUAGAGUAAUCACUUGCUAGCGUAAACGUGGUGUUUAGGCUAGGGUACUCAUAGAUAUCCCCUGACUAGCUGGACCGUGGUAGUAGCGAGGAACGUGAUAUUUCCGAGUUACCUUUGCAGAUCACAUCUCGUUAGCAGGACGGGUAGGUUUAUAGGUGCGGGUCGAACAUCCUUUGUGUUGUCUAGAUUCCGUGAGCCUCCCCAAUAGAACAGUAGAUCAUCCUUACCAAGGUUAGAACGAGACUACGGUUGCAGUCCUCUCUAUACAUCACUCACAUCGAGAGACAUUCUUUGUAGCCUAAAGGGGUAAUAGCAAUAGAUUUGGUUAGUCAGAUGCACCCUUUCUCCCAGUGGUAAAAAUAUAAAUACGAUAACUCUGGAAAACCUCCCGGGUGAAAUGCUCACCGAUAUCCGUGCGCUUGCGGAUCAUUUCCUUAUUGCGUUACCAAAUAUCAACAAGCAUUUCUGGCGCCAUUGCCGGGGAGUAAGACGGUUUGCUGAGAUAACUUUGAAUGUUGCUAUUAUCUUGUAUUAUACUUUUAUACUUUUAUUCUUUUAUCUUUUUAUCUUUAUGGAUAACUCAAAUUCCAUAUCUAUUAUUGAAUUCUUUGCACCUUCAGAGACUAGCCAUAGACCAUGGGAGUCAACACGUCCUGCCCCUAAUUAUGAUCUGUGUCCGGAGUUGAUUGCAAUAGGUCAAAACCAACCCUUUUCUAUAGCUGAGGUCCUAUCUUUUAAUCAAGAAGAUAAUGCACUUUUAGCUACACCUAGGGAAUCUUUUAAUCUUUCUAUAAAUUCUGGUUUAGACCUAGCCUUCAUUCGUGGACAUCCUUCUUAUACUAGUCUUCAUAGAAAAAUCUUAGAGAUAGAGAAGGAAUCAUCUCCCAUACAAGGAGAGGAAGUUUCAAUAGCCGAUUUCCAAACAUUCCAAUCCCAUGAUUCGGCUAUCCAACCCAUCCUUGAGCUUAACAAUUUCUACUAUGCUCUUUCUCUUGAACCUCUCGAUAAUCCUAUGAAUCUCUCUAGACAUCCCAUGCAUAAGAAGGAGGAUCGAGAAGAGCAACAUCAAUGGCUAGAGGGCAUUAAAAAUCCAUGUGCUAUCACCAUUGAAUGGAUAGAUAAAACAAACUUGAGAGACAAUCCUAGAGAAAUUUUAAGCAUUCAUGAAGAAUCAUCCUUGGAGUUUGAGAAUGAGAGAAACAAUAGUGAGCAUGGAAGUUAUUUCAUAAAUACCUCACCCAGUCCUUGCUCAUAUAAAACAUCUCUCCAAUCAAUUUGUCUCUCCAUCCUUACCACAUUUGAGAUCUCCAACCCCCUCUUCCUUUCUAUUUAUAAAAACUUUAAAAGAGCGGUUGUCGAUGCAUAUGUCUAUAAUAAAUAUUGCAGAUCUCGUUGAGUUAAUUGAUGGUUUCCCAAGGACAAGCUUAGUGUCCUAAAACAAGCGCUUCUAAUUAUUUGCAACAUUGCCUUGUGUAUUGAGCAUAUAAAGAUAAUUGUAGAAAUAUUCCUUCGGGUAUUCUUGCCACUAACCUUUCUAGGAUUGGAGCAAGAAGAUCGGAUGAAUGACAAGCACAAGGUAUGUCCAACCAAUCAUCAUGCAACAUUGAAUUAAAUUCAUCCAAUCUUGAACUUUGUAAAAUUCAAGCUUGGGGGGAGUACUUUACAUAAAAACAUCUUUUGCCAUGUUGCUACGUUGGUUGUCCUUACCUUUGAGACAUGCUCAAUUUGUUAAAUAUUAAUUACACUACUUCAUCUCCACUUAAGUAGAUCUCUAUAAAUGCUCUCAUGCUACCUUUAUUUGCUUUAGUAUAUGCCUAGGUUUGGAAUAGUUUCAUUAUCUCUUAAUUAAGCAUGGUGCUUAGUUUAGGAAUGAUGAUCUUACUUCCAAGGGAUUUUAAAUUAAGCAUGGUGCUUAGGUUAAAAUGCCCUUCUAAAUCAAAUUAGACAUGGUGUCUAGGUUGAUUUUUGAGCCGAUAGUAUGCUAUAGUAGAUAUUGGAUAUUUUGUUGGACUAACCCCUGCAGGAAAACUUUCAAUAUCAACCUGGGAAGUCCUGAGAUAAACUCGCAUUGGAGAUGAAGAAAGUGACACAUGAAGUUUAACAAUUUGCACAAGAAAGACAUAGCUCAUUCAUCAUAAAGAGGUGAUUCAUGGAGGGUGCCACAAACACGAUGCACAACCGCUAAAGAAAAGGAAAGCUUUCACAAGGUGAUACUGUACCGUCACUCUUCAAGUAAGGUAACAUUUUAAGGUACUUGACUAUCACUUUUAUAAGCUUCUCCUUGGUUCUGGCGUUCACAUAAAAUAAAGAGACAAACAUGUAUGAUCUGUAACUCCAAAUUAACCAACUCAAUUAAUUCAACAUGUUUAGUUCUUUAAUCUUUGUUCUUAAUACUACCUUCGUGAUCCCACACUCCUAAUCAUAUAAGCUAAAAUGUUGCACAUUCAAUAUUUGGAAGAUAUAAACAAAACAUAAAUAUAGAUAGAUUAUCUUUCCAUUAGGUUGAGCCAUAUGAUCUGACAAAUGUUUUAAAUGCUACAUCUUAUUAUCCACCAACUUUGUCUUGCUCACUAUGCUUAAGGUUAGAGAAGAACAAUUACACUUCUGGUUCUGUUGGUGUUCUCCACCAACAGGGCCCAUGCACUUGAUCUCGGCCUUGUCUCUAUAAACAGGUACACUUCAAGCAAAACAAGGAGGAGUUUUAUAACUCCUAGACUCCACCAAGUGAAGGACCUGGAUCUACGAGCACAAACACACUGAGCAGGAUAUUGCCAACACCGCACUUCGAACUGCUGGGCAAUCAAAGAACAUGGGUGACACCGUAUCAAGAGGUGCAGACGUCAAGGUCCAUACCUAAUCAAAUGAUGCACCUAAAGGAUGAAGACAGUGAGAAGUCUUGACCAGAAUACUUAAAACAUUGGAUCAUUGUCGGAGGAGGUCAAGAUCGUCGACUCAAGUCACCUUUCUUGAUCAAGAAGGACGACCCUGGUGUUCCAAGCAUUGAGUGCACAAUCAACAGAUACUCUUUCAGAAGACACUCUACGACACCGGAUCUGACGACAACAUAAUGGACGCAGUCACUUAUCAGCUCCUGCAUGGAACCAUGCCCCUACAACCAAUAUACAUUCAGCUCUAGAUGAUUUUUAGAUCAUUGACAUGGGAGAAGACGAGUAUGAUCCACCCACCAUCCUUGGAAGACCGUUCCUCAACACUAUCAAAGCAAUCGUCUACAUUGGAACCGGAGAAGUCCACAUGCACUUCCCCUCUGAGAAGGUACGCCGUAUUUUACUGACCCUAACUAUAUAGUUGAAGACUCUAAGCAGGUCAGGACAAGAAGAAGACAACGCAACCGCAACCAGAGGAGGCAAAUCAUCAAGGACAGGUGGGCAGACUACGAAUGAGAAGUGGUAAGGUCUGAAGACAUACAGCUUGAACAGAACUGUCCUGAAGAGACCGUAGCACCGAGUCAAGUGUGGAGAGAGAAGAUAGUUACACACGAAGAGGAGGCACUGCCGGAACCACCGACUACGCCACCUAGCGAAUCCCAGGACGAUUGAAAACACAAGGAGUCCCGUUCGGAGGACUUAAAAACACCGAACGUCUUGCCAUGAGGUAAACUUGGUAGUUAUCUUUUUCCUUCAAUUAUUUAAAAUAGUUUGCUUAGUUAAUCAGGUUCAUAUCAUCUUGAAAAGAAAAUAAAAAUGUUAAAAAAACAGUAAGCCCCAUGUGAGUAUACGAGUGGCAUAAAACCCAUAAAUAUAUUUACUGUGGUGGCAUAAAAAUAAAAUAAAUAUAUUUUCAUUUUACAAUAAAAAUAUAAAAAUAAUAAGUGCAUGAUCCUGCUAAAUAAAUAACAUUUAUUGAGGAGGCUCAACAUGAUAAAGGCUAGAUAUUUAUGCUAACACUUAACCAGUUCCACAAAGCUUUAUUGUCUAUUUGAGCUCCACAGGAUUCAAGGAUCAAAAAAGACUAGCAGACGGAGGACAUCCUAAUCGCUGUCAGGGUACUGCCGACAUUCAAAUAUACCUCCGUCACCUGCUAGCUACAUCAGAAGAAAUUACGUCAAAAUCCAGCUUGGGGGAGAGCACCCCCAUUUAUCCAGCUAAGUAUUUCUACCUAUCUUUAUACUUAUAUUAUGUUAGAAUAUUAAAAUACAUAAAUUAUGAAAAACCCAAAUAAAGAUUUUGUGCUUUUAUAUAUAUAUCUUUGCUUAGUUUGCUAAAUAAAUAAAUAAAUAAAAUUUGCUAUGAACCCUCAUGAUAAGCUCUCUCAUGGAAAUGAUGAAUAGUUGCUCUGCCAUGACUAGUUCUCAAAAUUGAAAUCUCUCUCAAGUUUAUGCAUGACUGUUAUGAAGUAAGAUUUGCUCUAAACCUGAACUUGUGGGAAGAGUACUUGAUCUAAAGUCUAAGUCGUUAACGGAUAUGAUAUGGGAAGGUUGAGCUACUGUUUAUCUGUUCCUAGAGAUGCUAGAAUUCUGGAGAAUUUUAUCUUUGAAAAAUCUUUAAAAUAACACAUGAUGAGUUCCUAUAUGAUGAGAGUUUAAAUUCCUACCACAGCCAUAUAUACAUGCUUGCUAGACUUUGAGCCACAUAUUUACUUUUUACUGCUUAUGAGCAUUGAGUGUGGUCAAGCUGUGUAGACCCUUAGGAGCUUGUCAUGUGGUUAAAAUCAAGAUUCACUUGCACGUUCACUCAUACAAGCUACUUCUACUCCGGAAGUACCAUCCACAUAUAUCCACUCAUUUCCAUCUCCACAUUCACCCAAAAUUAUUCUACUCCUAAUCCGGGAGAGAAUAGCCAAAAAUAUUUUCCUAUCCCUGUUAUUCCCUGUGAAAUACAUGCUCGAGUUAUCUUGGUUACUACCACUUGCUAUAUUAUCUCAGGAGAUGAGUGCUCUAAAAAAAGAAAAAAAAAGGAAGAAAAAAAUACGAGGAAAUAAAAAGGGGCAAGUGCCCGGAACCUCGAAAAAAAAGUGAGACGAGAGGUAAAAAUGGACAAGUCUCCGACAGUAGAAUUAGGGGUACAAGAUACCCACCUGAGAGGAAAGAAAAAGAAAAUAUAGAGCAUCUCAUUCUCCCCAAAAAGGUUCAGAGUGCAAGAAAGGUAUGUAUCCCCCAAAAGAGCAAAAGUAGAAUUAGACUUUCACCAUGAUUAUCAUCAUCAUCACCAUACACCAUUCAUUCGCCACACAUGCACAUCUUGAUUUGACUUAUUGACUUGAUUCUCUAGAUCCAUGGUUUGACUAUGCAAUAAAUGUCUUAUAAGUAUGUAUUAGCUGUCUCCCACCUAUGAGCUCCAGAUAUCAGAACCUUAUUAGAGUAGGGUGAGAGAGAAGGCAAUAUCACUAUGCCUCAUACCAAAAAUACCACAUACUUUGAGAGAAGGCAUAUACCAUUACUUCCUUGGUAAGGAUCCAAAAAUACCACAAAAGAGAGAUCUGAGAGAGUCAUAUAAGGAAUCUCUGAGUUUUAUUUGAAAAUCUGCAAAAACCCCAGGGCUAUAGCUGAUCAAGAAUAAGAAACAUGGCGCUUGACUUGACCGUUCUAUCUUUUAACUGCUCAAGACACAAGUGAAGGUUACAAGCCCUAUGGUGAAAGGUAAAAUGAGUAAAGUUUUAAGUCUUAACAGUUUAUUCUAACUCAGAGAUGAGAUCUUGCUUGAAUGCGUGUGUACUUUUAAGAAAUGAAACCACUGCAGAAACUCUUGAGUUCAUCCUUGCUCAUGGACGAGCAAGAGGUAAGCUUGGGGGAGUUUGUUGACUGUCCUUAAGUAUCAAAUUUAAUUAUCAAAUAAACAAAGAAAAGGAUCCAAAUGAAAUCAACAUCUAGACUUAGGGUUUUAUCUAACAGAAUUCCACGAGUUUUGGUGUUUGUCUAUUUCUACAGGGGGUUAUGAGGAAAUAUGAAAUAAAGGCCCACACGUCGGGAUUACAUAGACAUAUUAAUGUGCCGCGUAAUUUUCUAUCAUCUAGAAGACUCCAGAAGCCACGGGAACGAACGAGAGGCCGAACGGGCUCGGGGGCAGGGCGCCCGCCCACUCCCCUUGGGCGCCCGCCCAGUUGUUUCCACCAGUACACCAUUGCAAAGAUCUCGUCGAGCUGAUCGAAAUGCAUAUAUUAUUUGCUAUAUUUGGAGUUCGGAAUCAAGAGAUAUUAAUAAAAGAAGGACUCCACAUAAAAGAGCUGCGGGAUUAAUUGGGCCCAAAUCAGAUUUUGGUCCAUUAAGGCCUAUGUGCAUUUUAAUGAGAUAUGGUGGAAAGUUUAGUACCACAUCGCCUGCUGAACCAAAAACGCACAGAGGAGGAGGACUAUAUAAGCAAGGCCCCUGGCCCCUGGAGGAGGACAAGAAAUUAUCAUAGAGAUUGAGGGGUGCCCUCGAAGGAAAACCUCUUCUCUAAAUAAUAUUUAUUUUUAGGCUUAGCAACCAAUGUAAAGUAGAAAUAGAUCUUCUAGUUUCUACUAGAUUGAGAGAGAUAGAGUGGAGGUGUGGAUCGGAGGAAGGCCGUCC